Molecule: long non-coding RNA, 107 nt
Organism: Gavialis gangeticus (Gharial)
Lineage: Eukaryota; Metazoa; Chordata; Crocodylia; Gavialidae
Exons: 3
Source: RefSeq, a predicted model, not a curated record
CUUCAAGCAGGAUGUGGCCAGUUUGGAAAGAGUCCAGCGUAGGGCAGUGAAAGUGGUUAGGUGGCUGGGACACAUGACUUGUGAGGAGAGGCUGAGGGAACUGGGUU